UACGUAGGGUGCAAGCGUUACUCGGAAUUACUGGGCGUAAAGCGUGCGCAGGCGGCUUUGCAAGACAGAUGUGAAAUCCCCGGGCUCAACCUGGGAACUGCAUUUGUGACUGCAUGGCUAGAGUGCGGCAGAGGGGGAUGGAAUUCCGCGUGUAGCAGUGAAAUGCGUAGAUAUGCGGAGGAACACCGAUGGCGAAGGCAAUCCCCUGGGCAUGCACUGACGCUCAUGCACGAAAGCGUGGGGAGCAAACAGG
Molecule: ribosomal RNA, 253 nt
Filed under: uncultured bacterium
Lineage: Bacteria
Description: partial 16S ribosomal RNA
Rfam family: Bacterial small subunit ribosomal RNA
Source: RNAcentral